RNAcentral lists this ribosomal RNA (246 nucleotides) under uncultured Victivallis sp. RNAcentral's name for it is "partial 16S ribosomal RNA". It matches the Rfam family "Bacterial small subunit ribosomal RNA", at positions 796 to 1041 of the family's 1533-position model. Lineage: Bacteria; Pseudomonadati; Lentisphaerota; Lentisphaeria; Victivallales; Victivallaceae. The record is from RNAcentral.
CACGCCGUAAACGUUGUCAACUUGAUGUGGGAGGAUUUAACCCCUUCCGUAUCGAAGCUAACGCGAUAAGUUGACCGCCUGGGGACUACGGCCGCAAGGCUAAAACUCAAAGGAAUUGACGGGGGCCCGCACAAGCGGUGGAGCAUGUGGCUUAAUUCGAGGCAACGCGAAGAACCUUACCUGGGCUUGAAAUAUAGAGGACAGUCCGUGAAAGCGGAUCUUCCUUCGGGACUUCUAUACAGGUGC